RNAcentral lists this ribosomal RNA (490 nucleotides) under uncultured bacterium. Its description in RNAcentral is "partial 16S ribosomal RNA". It matches the Rfam family "Bacterial small subunit ribosomal RNA", at positions 30 to 507 of the family's 1533-position model. The record is from RNAcentral.
AUUGAACGCUGGCGGCAGGCCUAACACAUGCAAGUCGAACGGUAACAGGAAACAGCUUGCUGUUUCGCUGACGAGUGGCGGACGGGUGAGUCAUGUCUGGGAAACUGCCUGAUGGAGGGGGAUAACUACUGGAAACGGUAGCUAAUACCGCAUAACGUCGCAAGACCAAAGAGGGGGACCUUCGGGCCUCUUGCCAUCUGAUGUGCCCAGAUGGGAUUAGCUAGUAGGUGGGGUAACGGCUCACCUAGGCGACGAUCCCUAGCUGGUCUGAGAGGAUGACCAGCCACACUGGAACUGAGACACGGUCCAGACUCCUACGGGAGGCAGCAGUGGGGAAUAUUGCACAAUGGGCGCAAGCCUGAUGCAGCCAUGCCGCGUGUAUGAAGAAGGCCUUCGGGUUGUAAAGUACUUUCAGCGGGGAGGAAGGGAGUAAAGUUAAUACCUUUACUCAUUGACGUUACCCGCAGAAGAAGCACCGGCUAACUCCGUG